AUGAAAAAUAAAACAAUCUGCACACCAGAAAAACUCUUUCCCCUCCAUUUCUCUUUCUUUUUCCCGCAUCCUGUCCCCACCCGUCAAAGGCCCAGCCAAAUUUUCUCCUUCUAUUUCGCCCGCGAAGAGGCACCGCUAAAGGCCACCGCCCACCCCGGCAUUUUUUCGCCAGAUUCAAUCGACUCUCCUAUAUCCCACGACUGCGGCGAUCAGGGCCGGCAGAUUGGGGGUGGCCGCCCGCCGGCCGACCUUGAAUCCACCACACAACCAUCCCCACGAGCACUCCACUCUAUCCCCCCUGCUCGCAGCGACCGGCGACGGCGGAUUGGAGGAGGCCACCCGACCGGCCGAGCUCAGAUCCACUACAUCAACCAGCGACAGCGGAUUGGAGGAGGCCUCCCCACCCGUCUCUCUUUCCCCACAGAUUGCAGGGACCAGCGUCGGCUGACGAGAGAGAGAGAGAGUGAGAGAGAGAAGAGGGGGUCGCUGGGAGUAAUUUUGAUGGAUUGGGAUUGGAGAGAGAAGUACGAGGUGGCUUGGGCCUUGGGGGAAUAUCUUGCGGAACAGAAACGCAAGGGUGAGGCAUAUUUGAAGGAAAGGAAUGCAAGGAUUGCGGAAUGCAAGGCUGCGGAGCAGGAGUCUCUUAAAGACAUACAAAGCAUAGCUCGUAGCCUUGUAUACUCCAGUGCUCCUAAUGCGCAACUGACACAAAAUGCACAAGGUGCUGAUGAUUGCAGUGACUCAGAGUAUGACCGAGAUGCUGAAGAGGAGGCCUAUGUAGAGGAAGAGGAUUUGAGAGAUGAAGAGGAGGUCGCUCUUGCUAAGUCCAAAGCAAUGGAAGCAUUAUCAAAUAAGCCACCCAACAUUACUCAUGAGAAUUGGACUAGCCUUGUCAAUAAAUGGUCUGAUGAAAGAAACAAGAAUGCGAUGGAAAAGAAAAGGGAAGCACAAUCAGAAGGUGAGCAGCCAGUAUCCGAUACAUCGAUUGUGGCUGAAGUUCUAAAGGAAGAAAGCGCCCAUAGUACCGUCCUUUCUAGCAUGGGGUAUGCAUCAAGAUCCGAGAGGUCUGGGAGCUCUACUUCAUGA
RNAcentral lists this ribosomal RNA (1086 nucleotides) under Triticum aestivum (bread wheat). Its description in RNAcentral is "partial small subunit ribosomal RNA". The record is from RNAcentral. Lineage: Eukaryota; Viridiplantae; Streptophyta; Magnoliopsida; Poales; Poaceae.